Molecule: ribosomal RNA, 198 nt
Filed under: uncultured bacterium
Lineage: Bacteria
Description: partial 16S ribosomal RNA
Rfam family: Bacterial small subunit ribosomal RNA
Source: RNAcentral
ACGCUCGACACCUACGGGAGGCGGCAGUGGGGAAUAUUGCACAAUGGGGGAAACCCUGAUGCAGCGACGCCGCGUGAGCGAAGAAGUAUUUCGGUAUGUAAAGCUCUAUCAGCAGGGAAGAAACUGACGGUACCUGACUAAGAAGCACCGGCUAAAUACGUGCCAGCAGCCGNGGUAAUCUGAGCGGGCUGGCAAGGC